Molecule: unclassified non-coding RNA, 378 nt
Filed under: plant metagenome
Description: partial contains 5.8S ribosomal RNA, internal transcribed spacer 2, and large subunit ribosomal RNA
Rfam family: 5.8S ribosomal RNA (bases 1-105)
Source: RNAcentral
GAAAUGCGAUAAGUAAUGUGACUUGCAGAAUUCAGUGAAUCAUCGAAUCUUUGAACGCACCUUGCGCUCCUUGGUAUUCCUUGGAGCAUGCCUGUUUGAGUAUCAUGAAAUCUUCAAAGUAAAUCUUUUGUUAACUCAAUUGGUUUCUACUUUGGUAUUGGAGGUCUUUGCAGCUUCACACCUGCUCCUCUUUGUUCAUUAGCUGGAUCUCAGUGUUAUGCUUGGUUCCACUCGGCGUGAUAAGUUAUCUAUCGCUGAGGACACUGUAAAAGGUGGCCAAGGUAAAUGCAGAUGAACCGCUUCUAAUAGUCCAUUGACUUGGACAAUACUUUUAUGAUCUGAUCUCAAAUCAGGUAGGACUACCCGCUGAACUUAAGC